RNAcentral lists this ribosomal RNA (421 nucleotides) under uncultured bacterium. RNAcentral describes it as "bacterial SSU rRNA". It matches the Rfam family "Bacterial small subunit ribosomal RNA", at positions 355 to 774 of the family's 1533-position model. The record is from RNAcentral.
UAAGGAAUAUUGGUCAAUGGACGCAAGUCUGAACCAGCCAUGCCGCGUGAAGGAUGAAGGUCCUCUGGAUUGUAAACUUCUUUUAUCUGGGACGAAAACGGGAUUUUUAUCUCAAUUGACGGUACCAGAGGAAUAAGCACCGGCUAACUCCGUGCCAGCAGCCGCGGUAAUACGGAGGGUGCGAGCGUUAUCAGGAUUUACUGGGUUUAAAGGGUGCGUAGGUGGGCUUAUAAGUCAGUGGUGAAAUCUCCGAGCUUAACUUGGAAACUGCCGUUGAUACUAUAGGUCUUGAAUUAUCUGGAGGUAAGCGGAAUAUGUCAUGUAGCGGUGAAAUGCUUAGAUAUGACAUAGAACACCAAUUGCGAAGGCAGCUUACUACAUAUAAAUUGACGCUGAGGCACGAAAGCGUGGGGAUCAAACA